UCUCCCAACCCUUGUACCAGAGCAUAAACUGAACCCCUGGUACGGGGCCGUGGGAGAGG
Molecule: microRNA precursor, 59 nt
Filed under: Ornithorhynchus anatinus (platypus)
Lineage: Eukaryota; Metazoa; Chordata; Mammalia; Monotremata; Ornithorhynchidae
Description: Oan-Mir-150_pre stem-loop
Source: RNAcentral